This 267-nucleotide long non-coding RNA is filed under the name Elaeis guineensis (African oil palm). RNAcentral describes it as "long non-coding RNA (EGUI_LNC007208)". Lineage: Eukaryota; Viridiplantae; Streptophyta; Magnoliopsida; Arecales; Arecaceae. The record is from RNAcentral.
UGAACGAGAGGAUGGUUGCUGGCUUGGUUAGGAAGUAAGAAUAAAAGGAAGGAAGUGAAAAAAUAUAAGAAAAGAAGGAGAGGAAGAAGAGGAAAGAAGUGAGGUAUUGUUUGUUUCAAUUGGUAGGGAAGAAAGGAAGGAGAAGAAUAAAAAGAAAUGAGGAGAAGAAGAAAAGGAAAGAAAGGAGGUGCUAGAAGGCUUGGUUGGUAGGGGAAAAAAGAAGGAGAAGAAUAGAAGGAAAGGAGGAAGAGCUGGUGCAGAUGGCAG